Long non-coding RNA from Arabidopsis thaliana (thale cress), 220 nucleotides. RefSeq annotates it as other RNA. The record is from RefSeq. The transcript has a single exon. Lineage: Eukaryota; Viridiplantae; Streptophyta; Magnoliopsida; Brassicales; Brassicaceae.
AUACUCAUCAUCUGAUUAGCCAUCUCCAUCUUUUUCUUGAUCUCAUUACCCACAAUUGUUCCCAUUUCUUCAAUUCCAUCGGAACAAGUCUCACCGUCAGUCAUGGCGGCGCUGAUCCAAGUCUUAACAUCUCCGACGACUUCUUCCGUCAACCAAUUAUUCCCACCUUUCUUCUUCUUUCUCUCGAUCUCUGUAAUCGAAUCGUUGAGUUGACUCAACG